Molecule: microRNA precursor, 166 nt
Filed under: Triticum aestivum (bread wheat)
Lineage: Eukaryota; Viridiplantae; Streptophyta; Magnoliopsida; Poales; Poaceae
Description: MIR2118 microRNA precursor family
Rfam family: MIR2118 microRNA precursor family
Source: Rfam by way of RNAcentral
GUGAAUAAGGAAAAGGAAGCCAUUAGUAUCUCAGAGUAGUAGGCUUGGGAACAUGGAGGAAAGCAGACUUCUUGCCCUCUAAAUUUAGGGGCCAAGACUGUUUUGUAUUUUCCCCAUGCCUCUCAUGCUUAUUACUCUUAGAUAUUCCUUCCGUUUCCUAUUUGCU